GCGCAAUCUCCUUUUCUGCUGCACGUAAUCUCCAGUCAAGGAACACUAGACUCCAAUUUAAAGAAAAUGACACUAGCAGUUGAAACAUACAACAGAAGCUUUAAAAACAUCAGACUACAGAGAACUAAUCAAUAUGCAGAACUCGAAAGAAAGAAGUUAAACAAAAGGCUGCUUCAAAAAAAAAGUUGAAAAUCAAAGUAGUAACUGAGAAAGCACUAUCAUUAAAGUAGUUGUCAAAAAAAAAAAAUCUGCAGUUUAGACAUAAUAAAAGACACCACUUAAACCUCAAAAGAAUCCAUGACUUUCAAUAGCUAAUAAAAUCGAUUUUGCUUAUCCAACAAAGGAAUAGCUGAAACUCGUAAACAGGUGCCUGUAGCUUCAUACAACAGGACCAAAAACCAUAAAUAAAAGUGAAGCCAAAUUGAUAAUAUAAAGGAUAUCUUAAAGAAGUUGCCAUGUUGCAU
RNAcentral lists this unclassified non-coding RNA (464 nucleotides) under Hevea brasiliensis (rubber tree). The record is from RNAcentral. Lineage: Eukaryota; Viridiplantae; Streptophyta; Magnoliopsida; Malpighiales; Euphorbiaceae.